UACGAAGGGAGCUAGCGUUGUUCGGAAUUACUGGGCGUAAAGCGCGCGUAGGCGGCUUUGUAAGUUAGAGGUGAAAGCCCGGAGCUCAACUCCGGAAUUGCCUUUAAGACUGCAUCGCUAGAAUCAUGGAGAGGUUAGUGGAAUUCCGAGUGUAGAGGUGAAAUUCGUAGAUAUUCGGAAGAACACCAGUGGCGAAGGCGACUAACUGGACAUGUAUUGACGCUGAGGUGCGAAAGCGUGGGGAGCAAACAGG
Molecule: ribosomal RNA, 253 nt
Filed under: uncultured bacterium
Lineage: Bacteria
Description: partial 16S ribosomal RNA
Rfam family: Bacterial small subunit ribosomal RNA
Source: RNAcentral